GAUGAUUUAAUGUGGUCUAUAAUAAAAAAUCAGAGGGUGUGUAGCAAACACUUUCUAACAGGAAAACUUGUUAGUUUAGAAGAUGAAAAUCAUCCAGAUUGAGUUGGUUCCGUGACAAGACAUGGGUCAUAAUUGUACAAAUCUGAAAAAAAGGAUGAUAUUGAGAGAAAACUAAGGGCUGACUAAAGAAGAAAAGUACAAUAUGAAGCCAUUCUUAACACGUCUGAAGCAGAACCUCAUCGGGUGAUUGAAACAGAUGUUUGAAUCAACAGUUUUAGUGUACAAACAUACAUCACGAUGGAUGACUUAUGCAACAAAUUUGAGUAGCUUAGUUUUGCAACAUCUAAAAUUAGUAAUUUCGCCUUAUUGCAGAUUACAUACCGUUUACACAAAUGACAGCUCUAGGCAAGUUUAAAAGAUUUGGCUUAUCGUUUUAAAGUGUCUUUUGCUACAGCCUUAACAACAUUUGAAGUAAUCAAUAAUGAUUUAUACAAAAGGUA
Sitophilus oryzae (rice weevil) is the source of this 500-nucleotide long non-coding RNA. RefSeq lists it as uncharacterized. The transcript is spliced from 3 exons. The record is from RefSeq and is a predicted model, not a curated record. Lineage: Eukaryota; Metazoa; Arthropoda; Insecta; Coleoptera; Curculionidae.